This is a long non-coding RNA of Gorilla gorilla gorilla (western lowland gorilla), 682 nucleotides long. RefSeq lists it as uncharacterized. The record is from RefSeq and is a predicted model, not a curated record. The transcript has 3 exons. NCBI's taxonomy places the organism in Eukaryota, Metazoa, Chordata, Mammalia, Primates, Hominidae.
CUACUGUGAGAUCAUGAGGCAACAAUCAUGAAGACACGGCUAAAAAGACAGCAGAGAUGAGGAUUCCUGACACGGCAGAGCCACCGAACAACCUCAAAGCUGCUUUUCUUCAGACAAGAGUAAAAAAAUAGUGGUACAGAGAUUUGGAUAUCAACAAGGUUCUGCAGUUAAGCUGAUCAGUUCCAGCAAGAAGGAAGAUCAACCUCACCAUUCAUGAAAAGAAAACAAUGGCUUUAAGUCACCACCACCACCACCAUGAGGACAAAGCCAAGGAAAGAAAAAGGGGUGACCAGCCUUCGCUCAGAAGUUUGUCAAAAGAGUUAAAAGUUGGCCAUUUUGUUUUACUGCCUAUUUUAUUUCUCCCCGACUUUAAGAAUGGGUCCUAAGCUUGCAACACUUGCUCGACAUAUAUAUUCUUUGCCUUCAUCUCACCUGACUCGUAAUGCUGUGUGUUCCAAACAGCAGAAUGUGAGUGGACAUCAUAUGUACCACCUCUGGGCCUGGACCAUAGAACUCACACAUAAUCCUUCAUGUUCUUAUGUGACCACACAGAUGAACAAAGCAAGCCAAGUGUGGAAACGUGUUAAAGAUGACGGAACCACAAGAUGGAACAAGCCUGGAUCCCUGAAUCCCUCCUUGGAGGAUGAGUGCCCACAAAUUGUAAAUAGCCACCCAGAUCUCA